This 175-nucleotide ribosomal RNA is filed under the name Enterobacter roggenkampii. RNAcentral describes it as "partial 16S ribosomal RNA". It matches the Rfam family "Bacterial small subunit ribosomal RNA", at positions 1 to 169 of the family's 1533-position model. The record is from RNAcentral. Lineage: Bacteria; Pseudomonadati; Pseudomonadota; Gammaproteobacteria; Enterobacterales; Enterobacteriaceae.
AAAUUGAAGAGUUUGAUCAUGGCUCAGAUUGAACGCUGGCGGCAGGCCUAACACAUGCAAGUCGAGCGGCAGCGGGAAGUAGCUUGCUACUUUGCCGGCGAGCGGCGGACGGGUGAGUAAUGUCUGGGAAACUGCCUGAUGGAGGGGGAUAACUACUGGAAACGGUAGCUAAUAC